Molecule: ribosomal RNA, 1680 nt
Filed under: Rasboroides vaterifloris (pearly rasbora)
Lineage: Eukaryota; Metazoa; Chordata; Actinopteri; Cypriniformes; Danionidae
Description: 16S rRNA
Rfam family: Bacterial large subunit ribosomal RNA (bases 97-1567)
Source: RNAcentral
GCCAAACAACUAGCUUAACCAAUAAUAAUUAAAUCUACAACAUAUAUAAAAAAUAUAAACCGAGAACCAUUUAACUAAACCAUUCUUUACCAUAGUAUGGGAGACAGAAAAGGAACACCUCAAAGCCAUAGAAAAAGUACCGCAAGGGAAAGUUGAAAGAGAAAUGAAAUAACUCAUGUAAGCCAUAAAAAACAAAGACUAAACCUUGUACCUUUUGCAUCAUGAUUUAGCAAGUACACCAAAGCAAAGAGACCUUUAGUUUUAAGCCCCGAAACCAGGUGAGCUACCCCGAGACAGCCUACAAAACUAGGGCCAACCCGUCUCUGUGGCAAAAGAGUGGGAAGAGCUCCGGGUAGAAGUGAUAUACCUAUCGAACCUGGUGAUAGCUGGUUGCCUAAGAAAUGAAUAUAAGUUUAGCCUCGUACAACCUAAGUCAACACAAAUAAAAUAAGACAACUUAAGGAAAAACACGAGAGUUAGUUUAAGGUGGUACAGCCCCUCAAACAAAGGAUACAACCUUAACAGGAGAAUAAAGAUCAUACCACAAAAAAUAUUUUGUCUAAGUGGGCCUAAAAGCAGCCACCUAAAUAGAAAGCGUUAAAGCUCAGACAAACAAAAAUUUAUCAUUCCGACAAAUAAUCUUAUUUCCCCUUAAAUAUUAGGCUAUUUCAUGCACCCAUGAAAGAAAUUAUGCUAAAAUGAGUAACAAGAAAAACCAGAUUUUCUCCUGGCAUAAGUGUAAAUCAGAUCGGACCCAACACUGAUAAUUAACGAACCCAAACAAAGAGGGUAAUAUGAAUAACUUAAUAACCAAGAAAACCUCAUAAUUAAAAAUCGUUAUUCUCACACUAGAAUGCAUAAAAGGAAAGACUAAAAGACAAGGAAGGAACUCAGCAAACCCAAGCCUCGCCUGUUUACCAAAAACAUCGCCUCUUGAAAUAUUUAAAUAUAAGAGGUCCAGCCUGCCCAGUGACUACAAGUUUAACGGCCGCGGUAUUUUAACCGUGCAAAGGUAGCGCAAUCACUAGUCCCUUAAAUGGGGACCUGUAUGAAUGGUUAAACGAGGGCUUAACUGUCUCCCCUGUUUAGUCAGUGAAAUUGAUCUAUCCGUGCAGAAGCGGGUAUAAUAAUACAAGACGAGAAGACCCUUUGGAGCUUAAGGUACAAGACUCACCCAUAUUAAGCAAACCUUAAAAGUCAUAAAUACUAAUGAACAUGAGACUCUACCUUCGGUUGGGGCGACCACGGAGUAAAUAAUAACCUCCGAGUGGAUUGGAAGCUAUCCAAAACUAAGAUAAAACACCUCUAAGCAACAGAACAUCUGACCAAACAUGACCCAGCUAUUAAGCUGAUCAACGAAACAAGUUACCCAAGGGAUAACAGCGCAAUCCUCUUCCAGAGUCCAUAUCGACGAGGGGGUUUACGACCUCGAUGUUGGAUCAGGACAUCCUAAUGGUGCAACCGCUAUUAAGGGUUCGUUUGUUCAACGAUUAAAGUCCUACGUGAUCUGAGUUCAGACCGGAGCAAUCCAGGUCAGUUUCUAUCUGUAACGUUAAUUCUCCUAGUACGAAAGGGCCGGAGAAAUAGGGCCUAUACUAAAAGCACGCCCUACCCCAAAUUAAUGAAUCUAAAUAAAUUAAAUAAAGGGAGAGCAUAAGCUACCCUCCUAGUCAAGGAGUU